CUCUCUAAUGCUUCCUGCUACGAAUGAAGCACAUUAGCUAGGUGACACUCUAGAGAUGAACUCUUCUCCAGGCUUCGUGACUGUGGUACUCUUGAUGCUUGGACGAACCCACGGAGACUCAGUGACCCAGAUGGAAGGCCCAGUGACCCUCUCCAAAGGGGAGUCCCUGACUAUAAACUGUACUUAUUCAGCGACAGGGUACCCCACUCUUUUCUGGUAUGUCCAGUAUCCUGGAGAAGGUCCACAGCUCCUCCUGAAAGCCUUGAGGGACAAGGAGAAGGGAAGUCACAAAGGUUUUGAAGCCACCUAUGACGGAAAAUCCAAAACCUUCCACUUGGUGAAAUCCUCAGUGCAAGUGUCAGAUUCGGCUGUGUACUACUGUGCCCUGAGUGACACAGUGACAGGGACUGCAGGGGGAGCUGAGCGCAAACUCUGAGCAGA
Molecule: non-coding RNA, 441 nt
Organism: Herpailurus yagouaroundi (jaguarundi)
Lineage: Eukaryota; Metazoa; Chordata; Mammalia; Carnivora; Felidae
Source: the annotation of a RefSeq genome assembly